Equus quagga is the source of this 2299-nucleotide long non-coding RNA. RefSeq lists it as uncharacterized. The transcript is spliced from 3 exons. The record is from RefSeq and is a predicted model, not a curated record. NCBI's taxonomy places the organism in Eukaryota, Metazoa, Chordata, Mammalia, Perissodactyla, Equidae.
GAAAAAAACAUUUCUUGGCCUACUUUAAAAAGAAAUUUUUGUGUGUUUUGUUUGUUUGUUUGUUUUUACUUUGACUUCAGUGGUUUAUUGGCAUCCAUUCAAGCCAUUUCAACACAACCAUGUGAUUCACGUGCCAUCCAAAGUGUACAGAUCAAAGUACUUUCAAAGAAACCCAAGGAGCAGGAUUAUCCAUUUGAUCACUUUCUGUUUAAGGGAGAGUCACCACUUUGUUCCUACUAUGAAUCCAGCUUUUGUGCUGUUGUCGUUAUUGAAGCUGAGAGAGGACCAGGAAGGAAUGAACCAUGGCCUUUGAGGCAAUGGGACGAACUUUCUUCUCCAGCUGUGAGAAGACAACGUGGGAACAAACUACAGACUGAAUCUGGCCACCUCCUCAUGGCCCCAUAGAGCCGCACAGAGCAAUUAACAUAACAAGCAAUGGGCACCUCCAGCGAGGAAACCGGAACCUAUAAACUUGGGUCUCUCCACACCCAACAUGAAGCAUAAAAGCAAGCAAAGCAAACUUGACCUCCACCCAAGGACUAGCAUUCAACUCGCUAACACCUGUAUUCCUACUUAUUAUAAUCUACCUGCUCCUUUUGCCUUGGCAGCCUUCUCUGGGUUUGACUCCUCACCUGCCCAGACCUGGGGAAUCGAUCAGUUCUUCAUUUUUAGCUGGAUUUUAAGACCUCCUUCCUGGCCAGCUGCAGCCAGCUCCCACUCAAACCCCAGAGUAAUAGUCCGUUAGAAAUGACUUCUAUGACACCCUUGUGCCUAAAAAGAAUUGGUGAAAUAGUUUUUGAUUACUUCUUUUAACAAGUCAAAAUAAUGGACUAUUUCACAAUCUCAUUGUCCUAACAAGAAUGCAAUUCUUUAAGCUCUUCGUUCACCCAAUGGAAAGCCUCGGAUGAUUGAAAACUGAGCCCUGUUGCUCUAUAAAGACCAGAGCUUUUCUCAAAUGUUUGCUUUUCCACACUUGCACCUGCACUUCACCACGAUAAUAAAGCCUAAAGAAGUUUAAGGAGAGAUGUGCCUAAUUCAGAACACAGACGCUUAAGGAAAGAUUUCUGUUUUUAAAAGAGAUUUCUAUAAAUGAUUUAGCAAAUCUGUGCAUAUAACCUGUCCAAAGUGCUAACACACUUUGCUUCAAGCAGCCAAUUUUGCAGGCAAAGCUCUGGUUUUCUCGUUCCUUCUGUGAGCUGUGGCUGUCAUUUCCUCAUGGCCCAGCCCUCAGUGAUGCACGAACCAGAGAUGUAUUUCUCAUUUGUGCAUAAAAGUGGUUUCCUUGAAUUAUGAGUCCCAAAGUUCCAAGACACUUACAGUCUGGGUGGCCACACAGGUAUAAGCGCAUAAAAGUCUGUUCUUAGCAUGGCUGAAGGAGUGAACGUUUUCACUCCAAACAACUCAUCUCUCUGGGAACAUGCUACGCAGCACUCCGUCAGGGAGAGGCAUAUUUGUGGUCAUCAUGUACUACAGUAAUGGUACAAGGAGACACACACCAAGAGAAGUUAGAAAAUCAAAGAGCAAAAUAAAUCCCGCUCUUUAUACGAUAGGAUCCUUUAGCUCCCCUCCCCACCCCACCCUCCUCUGGAAAACAUCUUAGCUCCUCGGAAUUCAAAAGAAAUGCCAAAGGGGAGGUUGUGUCUGUGAAUUCAACCAUAAGCCCAAUAGUAUCAGAAGUUAAAAUCUACACUUUCAAAGAGAGUAAAAAAUGAAUAAAGAUUUUUUGAAAAAGAGCCUCAACUUUUGAUUAAUUGCACAAAAUAAAGACUCCUCUAGAGGCGAAAGUUUUCAACCUUUUCAGACUUGGCGAAGGGAGGCUCCCGUUGGCCAUGCAGGGGUGCUGGAGUGGUAUGUGUGCAUGAGGAUCUGAUCCCGGAGGAGAGCGAGUCAGCAUAGCCCCGCAGCAGGGCCCAGGCCUUGCCCAGAGACUGAGGACCACCAAGGGGUCACCUCUGCUCCACUGGAACAGAGGAAGAAAGCAGAAAGGAAUGUGGCCCUCUGGAACUAAUGCAAGUUCUUCAGAUUCAGGAGAUCCAUUUUCUCUUCUGAGUGAUUCCUGGGGCCCCGGAAACUUGUUCUUCUAAAAGCCAAAAGAACCCUUAAAAGGCUAUAACUAUUCUCCUGGAAAAUUUAACUCAAAUUGGAAGCAUCCAGUUUCCUAUAAGCAGUAUGUCUUAUGCUCCUUUUUCCUCCUAUGUACCUAGGAAAAGAAUUAUUAUUGAUUAUAAAAUACACAUUUGCCUAUUAAAACAAGGCUGCUAAACUGAGCAAUGUUAUGACAAGUCAUUAUGAAUGCAUG